UACGAAGGGUGCAAGCGUUACUCGGAAUUACUGGGCGUAAAGCGUGCGUAGGUGGUUUGUUAAGUCUGAUGUGAAAGCCCUGGGCUCAACCUGGGAAUUGCAUUGGAUACUGGCAGGCUAGAGUGCGGUAGAGGAUGGCGGAAUUCCCGGUGUAGCAGUGAAAUGCGUAGAGAUCGGGAGGAACAUCUGUGGCGAAGGCGGAUCUCUGGGCCAUUACUGACGCUGAGGAGCGGAAGCGUGGGGAGCGAACAGG
RNAcentral lists this ribosomal RNA (253 nucleotides) under uncultured bacterium. RNAcentral's name for it is "partial 16S ribosomal RNA". It matches the Rfam family "Bacterial small subunit ribosomal RNA", at positions 524 to 776 of the family's 1533-position model. The record is from RNAcentral.